Molecule: long non-coding RNA, 5603 nt
Organism: Pangasianodon hypophthalmus (striped catfish)
Lineage: Eukaryota; Metazoa; Chordata; Actinopteri; Siluriformes; Pangasiidae
Exons: 3
Source: RefSeq, a predicted model, not a curated record
UUGAUAAUAAUCUUGUAACCCUCUGCAGUCAGUAGGCUUUAGGACCCUUAGUUAGUCGUUUGGUAUCGGAGAGGCUGUGCAUGCGCGGGAAAUUUCAGACCCCAGUUUAUAAAAACAAGUGGUUGUAGUUGGAUAUUCGAGUCUUGUUCGAAAGGCAACUUCAGUCUGACUCACUCUAAAGAAAAACAAGGAAGCCGGGAGGUGCAGUGUGUGAUGGAAGGCGAGUUUAAUUCAGUAUCGCGUCUAAAGGACUGAGUUUCCCAAAGGGUACUGGCAGUGUUGGUGAGAUCAGUGUUGGAAAGCUUCCCUUCAGAUUACAGGUGAGGAUACACCCGAGCUGCACUCGGUGGAUCUGGAGUUGGAGGCCGUGGAGAAGCAGAUCCGCGACCUACAGGUGAAGCAGGCCCAGCUGUGACAACAGAAAGCCGCGCUGGAAUCAUCCCGAACUGACGCUCACCUGUCCCAGGUAAAUUCGUGGCGGGAAACAAACACUCCCAAAACCUCAACUCCGCGUACUUCUCUAUCCAGGCCUAGUGCACCUAGGACGCGGCCCGCCCAGGUUUCAUUCACUCCAGCGCCAGGGUACCACGGAGCCUGGAUGCAGCAGCAGCGGAAGACACGAGCCAGGACCCGGGCGAGGACCUCUCCCCCUCCACCGCCACCCGUUUGAGAUCUCGACCCGGAACCGCUUCGCUCCCCUUCGCGAGUCGGAAUGCGACACAGUGAUCAUCGGAGACUCCAUCGUCCGGCACGUCCGUGCUACCACGGCUAAAGGUAAGGUGCGCACUCGCUGUUUUCCUUGUGCUCGUGUACUCGAUGUCACUGCACAGGUACCCGCGAUCCUGAAUAGGAAGAACAUCGGAGCUGUGGUCCUCCAUGCUGGAACGAACGACACCAGGCUGAGGCAGACGGAGAUCCUGAAGAAGGACUUCAGAAGCCUGAUUGAGAAGGUACGCAGCACAUCGCCCACGACGAGGAUCAUCGUGUCAGGACCGCUUCCCAUGUUCCAGCGAGGAAUCGAGGAAUCGAGCUUUUAAUGAAUGGUUGUGUCAAGACCAGAAAUUACCCUUUAUUGAUAACUAGAAUAUUUUCUGGGAGCGUCCUAGGCUCAACCAUACUGACGGCCUGCACCCAAGCAGAGCUGGAGCAGCGGUCCUCUUGGACAACAUCUCCAUGACACUACGCACCAUCUGACUGACUCUCAUGUUUCUGCUCGGAUAUCAGCUUGUCUGGCUGACAUCUCAUCAUGGAUGACAACUCACCAGCUGAAACUUAAUCCCACCAAAACUGAACUGCUGUUCAUCCCAUGUGAUUCAUCCCCAUCUCAGGAUCUUGCAAUUUCCCUAGACAAUUCUCUGAUCUCGCCUUCGGUUACCGCACGCAACCUUGGGGUAACCAUGGACAAUCAACUGUCCUUCUCCUCUCACAUUGCUAAUCUAACACGCUCAUGUCGAUUUCUCCUUUAUAACAUCAGAAGAAUUCGUCCAUUUCUUUCCUCACAGGCCACACAGGUGCUUGUUCAGUCCCUUGUCAUUUCGAGACUGGACUACUGCAACUCACUCCUGGCAGGUCUGCCUCUGAGCGCCAUUCGUCCUCUGCAACUGAUCCAGAAUGCAGCUGCACGACUGGUUUUCAACCUUCCUAAAUUUUCCCACACCACCCCAUUGCUGCACUCCCUCCACUGGCUUCCUGUAGCUGCCCGCAUCAGAUUUAAAACACUGAUGCUCGCCUACAAAGCCAAAAACGGACCAGCACCCACUUAUCUCAAAGCACUUAUCACACCUCGAGCGCCACCACGCUCCCUCCGAUCCUCUAGCACUGCUCGACUGGUCCCUCCAUCUGUCAGGGUACAAGGAAGGCAUGCAUCGAGACUCUUCUCUGUUCUGGCACCAAGGUGGUGGAAUGAACUUCCCCUAGAUGUCCGAACAGCUGAGUCACUGGCAGUCUUCAAACGACGGCUAAAGACUUACCUCUUCAUAAAAUACUUAAAUUAGCACUUUCACCAAAAAAAAAAAAAAAAAAAAAAAAAAAAAAAAACCCUCCCCAACAGAGUUUUGGACUGAUGGUAUUCCUAGUUUGUGACCUACCGAGCCAAUAUCAGAAUGUAUUUUUGACAGACUUCAAAGCACUAUUGUAAGUCGCUCUGGAUAAGGGCAUCUGCCAAAUGCCAUAAAUGUAAAUGUAAAUGUCUUAGUUAAUGAACUGAUCACGGAUCAGGAGUAUGACACGUUAUGUUUAAGAGAAACGUGGAUUAGGCAGAACAAAUAUGUUGCAUUAAAUGAAGCUAGUCCGCCCACUUAUAGCUACAUACAUCAGCCUCGUUUAACCGGUAGAGGAGGAGGCGUCGCAGUUAUUCAUAAGGAUAAUCUGACCAUCGUACAGAAACUAGGACAAAACUUUAAUUCAUUUGAAGCACUUUAUAGUAACAUAAGUGCAGUCGCUAAUGAUAAGUCAUCACAGUCCCUUCCGUUAGUUAUUAUCUACAGACCCCCAGGACCGUACUCUGAAUUUCUUAGUGAAUUUACAGAUUUCCUAUCAAACCUAGUUGUUUCUGUCGACCGAGCGUUAAUUGCCGGAGACUUUAACAUUCAUUUUGAGAAUAUAGGCAAACCCGCUGAAGAUAGCGUUUACAUCCAUACUUGACUCAUUGGGAGUCAAUCAGUGUGUUGUAGGAUCCACACAUAAAGCAGGUCAUACGUUAGACUUAAUAUUAUCUUUUGGAGUUAAUAUAACCAAUAUAGUGAUAAUCCCGCAGUCUGAGGCAAUAUCAGAUCACAGUCUGAUUUCGUUUUGUGUGUGUCACAGUAGCAUUGUACACACAGAACCGCGCUACCGAUUUAGCCGUACAAUAACACCUGCGACCGUGCAGAGCUUUAUUAAUCACCUACCAGAAUUAUCCGCUAGUAUAGGGUCACCAUCAGACCCUUUAGAACUCGAACAAGCGACAGAAUUUUUAGAGUCGACAUUCCGCUGUACCUUAGAUAAUGUAGCCCCAUUUAGAAGAAAAACAAUUAAAGAUGAGAAACUCGCUCCGUGGUAUAGUGACCACACAUGCUCUCUAAAACAGAACGCCCGAAAGCUAGAGCGUAAAUGGCACCAGACCAAACUCCUAGCAUUUAAAAUAGCAUGGAAAGACAGUAUUUUAGCCUUUAAAAAAGCUCUAAGGCUAGCUAGGUCCACUUACUUAUCAACGCUUAUAGAAAAUAAUAAAAGUAAUCCUAAAUUCUUAUUUAACACCAUAGCAGAAUUAACUAGGAAUAAGACAUCGACAGAAAUUUCCACAAUAACAGCAUAUAAAAGUAACAAUUUCAUGAAAUUCUUUGAUAGCAAAAUUAAAAACAUUAGGCAGAAGAUACAGGCCCAAAGUCCAAAUUAUACAAUAGACUGGGAGGAUAGACAAACCAUAGAUCAGAGCUUAGAAAGUUUUACUCCUCUUGAAGAAAAUGAUUUAAUCUCACUCAUCUCUUCUGCUAAAUCAUCAACCUGUCUAUUAGAUCCGGUACCAACACGUCUUCUUAAGCAAAUAGUUGGAACCGUAACUGAACCCCUGCUUAAAAUAGUUAACUCCUCACUGAGCAAUGGGUACGUUCCAAAAUCACUUAAAUUAGCUGUUAUUAAACCACUAGUAAAGAAACCAGACCUUGACCCUAACGACUUAACUAACUAUAGGCCGAUUUCAAACCUUCCCUUUCUAUCUAAAAUACUAGAGAAGGUAGUAGCGCAGCAGCUAAUUUCAUAUCUACAAAGUAAUAAUAUCUAUGAACUUUAUCAGUCAGGUUUCAGGCCCCACCACAGCACAGAGACAGCAUUAGUCAAAGUAGUCAAUGAGUUGCUAUUAGCCUCUGAUCGGGGUUGCAUUAGUCUAUUAAUUUUACUCGACCUUAGCGCAGCGUUCGACACUAUCGACCAUAAUAUCCUUCUUCACAGACUGGAAAAGUCAGUUUGUAGAUUUAAACGGUGACCACUCAGCACGUUAUCGAGUAGAAUAUGGCGUUCCGCAGGGUUCAGUCUUAGGCCCACUGCUUUUCAAGUUAUACAUGCUCCCUUUAGGUAACAUAAUUCGUAAACAUAAUAUUAGCUUCCAUUGUUAUGCUGAUGACACACAGUUAUACGUCUCAGCUAGGCCAGAUGAGAAUAGCCAGUUAAAGAAAGUUGAGGCAUAUGCGACAGACAUAAGAGACUGGAUGCUAAGCAACUUUCUCCUGCUAAACCCGGAAAAAACUUCUGGUACUCGGACCACAAGCCGCUAGAAGUAAGUUUAAAGAUCACACUGUUACUUUAGACGGUCUCUCUGUUUCAAGUAGUCUAACAGUAAAAGAUCUCGGUGUGAUUAUAGACUCUAAUCUCUCAUUUGAGGCGCAUGUAGAUAAUGUAAGCAGGUUAGCAUUUUUCCACCUCAGAAAUAUCGCUAAGAUUAGAAAUAUACUUUCGCUAAGUGAUGCUGAAAAACUAGUCCAUGCAUUUAUCACGUCCAGAUUAGAUUACUGUAAUGCUUUACUAUCUGGAUGUUCGUCUAGAUGCAUAAAUAAGCUUCAGGUAGUUCAGAAUGCAGCAGCAAGGGUCCUUACUAGGACUAGGAAGUAUGAGCAUAUCACGCCAGUCACUGGCUCCCAGUAAGAUUCAACAUCGAUUUUAAAAUAUUACUCCUAACCUAUAAAGCAUUAAACGGUAUCGCUCCGCAGUAUUUAAGCGAUAUGUUAGUACCUUACGUUCCGUUGCGCCUACUUCGCUCUAAGGAUGCAGGCUGUCUAUCAGUACCACGCAUUGCCAAAACCACGGCGGGGGGCAGAGCUUUCUCUUACCAAGCCCCAAAAUUAUGGAAUAGCCUCCCAGUUAAUGUACGUGAAGCAGACAUGGUCUCAGUGUUUAAGUCGAGGUUGAAGACUUAUUUAUUUAACCUAGCAUUUAGCGACUAGUGUUUUAGACAAAGGAGUAGAUCUGGGGGACUCGUGGAUGUUGAGUGUUAUGGUGAUCUGGUGUGUUUGGAUGCUGUCUUCCUCACUCUCGUUAGUCACUCAGGUUUAUGACGGCAGAGUGACUGUAUGCCUUACAUAUCGGGGAUCUCUCACGUCUGUGUUUCCCCCUGGUUCUCCUUUUAGUUAUGCUAUUAUAGCUAGUCCUGCUGGAGUCCCCUGCACUCCUCAUUAAGUUUUAUCUCCACACGGUGACUGUGAGUGUACCUAACCACUUUCCUUCUCUUUCUGCCGAGCUACACUCCUGAGCUGCCGGUGAUCCAGACCACCCUACGCUCUGGACCAGAUGAGCAUCACUCCUGAGCUGCUGGUAAUCCAGACCUCCCCCCGCUUCACUCUGGACCUGUCCACCGGCAAUGCUUCACACUGCCACGAAGUCGCUUCAGCUGUUUUCUAUGGACUACACAAACACACAUUGUACACACACACACGCGCGCACUACAGUGUAAACCCAUAUGAGGAUGGGUUCUUUGUUGAGUCUGGUUCCUCUCAAGGUUUCUUCCUAUCACCAUCUCAGGGAGUUUUUCCUUGCCACCGUCGCCCUGCUUGCUCAUCAGAGACGUCACACACACACACUUCACUUUACUUUUGUUUGUGUAAAGCUGCUUUGAGACAAUGACCUUUGUAAAA